GCGCCUAUAGCUCAGUUGGUAGAGCCGUCGUCUUAUACACGACUGGUCCCAGGUUCGAGUCCUGGUGGGCGCA
Molecule: transfer RNA, 73 nt
Filed under: Minisyncoccota bacterium
Lineage: Bacteria; Bacillati; Minisyncoccota
Description: tRNA-Ile
Rfam family: tRNA
About the family: Transfer RNA (tRNA) molecules are approximately 80 nucleotides in length. Their secondary structure includes four short double-helical elements and three loops (D, anti-codon, and T loops).
Source: RNAcentral